Brassica napus (rape) is the source of this 175-nucleotide long non-coding RNA. RefSeq lists it as uncharacterized. NCBI's taxonomy places the organism in Eukaryota, Viridiplantae, Streptophyta, Magnoliopsida, Brassicales, Brassicaceae. The transcript is spliced from 2 exons. The record is from RefSeq and is a predicted model, not a curated record.
AUUAUUAAUUCAUGUUUUCUUGUCCACAUUAACUAUUGCAACAUCAUCAAAUAUGAGGUUAUAUCUACAAAUUGUGUGCUUUUCCCUUCUCUAUCACUUUCCGCAGUGCAGAUUUGGCUUCUUCUAAGGUCUCUACACCAAGACUUUCCUCAAAGGCUAGCCUUUGUAUGUUAAA